RNAcentral lists this ribosomal RNA (492 nucleotides) under Triticum aestivum (bread wheat). RNAcentral's name for it is "partial small subunit ribosomal RNA". The record is from RNAcentral. Lineage: Eukaryota; Viridiplantae; Streptophyta; Magnoliopsida; Poales; Poaceae.
AUGAUCUCUGUUGAUAGGGCCCUUCUUGACUUAGGGCGCCUCGCUUUCCAUCGGCCAUUUGGGCCGGCGGAAUCCGCCGCCUGGCGUGAGUUGCUUGACUGCGUUGCUCUGCAUGAGCCGGUGGUGGAUGGGGAUCAGGAUCUUGUGCGCUGGCACCUGGAGCCGUCGGGCCAGUUCUCUACCAAAUCGCUAUACUUGGCCAUUGCCCCCUCCUCCGCUCCCCUCCCCCUAUCGAUGGUGUGGUCCGUCCGCGUCCCCCUGAAGAUUCGCAUCUUCAUGUGGCAGUGGAUCCGUGGACGGAUCCCGUCCGGUGUGGAGGUCCGCAAGCGUAAUGGCCCGGGCACUGGUAUCUGCCCCCUCUGUGCUAUUCCCGAGGACUCCAACCACAUCUUCUUCGCCUGCGUCUCCGCCCGGUUCCUCUGGAACUGCUUUCGCGAGAUUGUCGGUGGGAGUUGGUUGGUGCCACACCAAUUUCCCGGACUUAUUUGCUGA